CUGCCUUCGUGGUCCGUGAGGACCCCCUGGCUGCGGAAGGGGGGACGCCCCGGGCCCGCAAGGCUGCAGCCCCUGGAAGACGUUCCACGGGCGGAGAAUAGUUGGGAGAGCCUGGCUGUGGACAGUCAGGAGGACCUGACUCUGGUUUUCUGGAACAAAGGAGAUGGAAUGCUCCUUUUACCUAGGCGGGAGUGGACGAGGAAUCCCACUCCGUCAGAGGUCGAGUUCGGCUGCCUAUUUAAAUAUAGGCUCGGACAAGAGUGCUUGGUCGUUAGGACAAGAGGACACUCUGGAAUCCUGUUGGGAGGUGGAAUCAGAUGGUCCAUCUCAUCCCAAAAGCAGCUAAGGUUAAGCUGCAGUUUGGGCCAGGUACUGAAGGUACCAGGCAUCUGUGAAAAUUGGUUAUAGGAUGCUUUGUCUUGGUCUCGUUUGUCUGGCUUGUUUUCUGUGGUAUUGUCGAGUGUCUUUUUGGCUUUUGUUUCGUUUUUGAAUUUUGGACUGACGACUGUGUUUGAAUUUGGACUGACGACUGUGUUUGAAAUCUUGGACUGACGACUGUGUUUGAAAUCAUGAAACUGUUUGCUUUGUUCAUCAUAGAGUUUUACUUGAUCCUCUUGGUGCUUAAGUUAAGAGUUAAAAAUAAUUUGCUUGAGAAAAAUUGUUUUCUGCCAGGGAGUUUUGUCUUUCUCUCUUGAGCCUCCUCCCCAAGGAGAGAGGCCCCUCCCUUUACUCCCCUUGAUCAGCCUAGCUGCUGUUAACAGUUGUGUAAACAGACAUUAACAAAAACCUUGAGGACAAAACCUCUCGUAAAUAAAAAAGUUCCCCAGAUUAGGCCUCCGGUAUGAAACAAGUAUAGUGAGUAAGAAACUUAAUUUUAUGGACCCCGCUCUAGUGGCGGUGUAUUGGUUGAUAGCCAACGUUAAUUUUUUAAAACAUAGUGUUUUAUCUGUGCUUGUGCUCCCAACACACAGUAGGGGGGAGCGAAAUUAGCUGUGGAGCUGCUGCAGCGAGCAUGGGGACUUCUCAAGUCUCACCCAAUUUUUCUGGCUCUUCAGGAGCUGUUUAAAAGUAAAAGGCUUAAGGUAAAAAGAAACACUAUAGAAAGAUUUCUUAGUGAAUUACUACACCUUGGUUCGCGAUCUCUGGGAAUCUCACGGUGGACAGCUAAGAUAAGCUAAAAAAAGAUUUAAAUUUUGCUUGAGAGCAAGGAUUCUUAAAGGUGGAGUUUCAGCCGGUAUGGCACUUAGUGCGUAGCUGCCUAAAAAAUCAGAAAUGCUGUCAACAGGCUAUAAAAAAGGGACAAGCUGUGUUAAAAAUGCUACAUAAAGAAUAAUCUAAAAAGGCUGAGAGUGAGGUGGGAGAGGACUCUAGAAAAAACAAGAACAAGAAAAAAAAAUUUUUCUGCUUUUAGUGACCAGACCUUCAACUCUUGCUCACAGAAAGAGGGUGCUCAUUAGGAGAAGUUCUUUAAGGAGCCUGCCUUAUCUGCUGGCCCUAUUCCAAGAGAGGAGUCAGUCUCCGGCAUUAAAUUACUUUUCUCACUGGUCAUCAUUAGCAUGGAGAAUGCCUUUGAUCCUAUCCCCACAGCAGCCAGUUCCUGCCCCUGUGGUAGAAAUGUCCCAGGUUGGGGGACAGAGAAGCCCCUAAAAUAGUUUCAAAGAAUCUACAACAAACUGUAAAGAACUUUGUUUUGUUUUGCCAGUUUGAAUUUAGAAUUCAGGCUUUGGCUGUGGCCGAGGUCAGGAUUAAUGUUUUCGUUUCCAUGGGCCCUUAGCCCACUGAGACAGUUUGGUAAAGGACUACUACUACAGUCCUGAUAUUCAGAGACAUGGAGAGAGCUAUAGUUUUUUUAUUAAAGGUUGGUACUAUAGUAUUAACAAUCUCUUUAUUAGAUAUAAGAGACAAGAAGCCCUAGGUGAACUGGUUACAAUUCUUUUGUCAGCUGCUUAGUAUCUAACACCCAGGUUCUACCGUCUCUCCAUCCUUUUGUUAUUAGUUCUUACUAGAAGCCUAGUGUCCUUCAGAGGCUGGGUUUAUUGAGAGACAGAGCCACUGAGCUGGCACUAAAAGAAGGUACUCCUUAAGGGAAAAUCUAAGUCCAGAGAGACAGCCGGUAACAGAUAGGCUGCCCCUCUGCUCACUUUUCUGUUUCACAGACACAAGGUCUUUUUGUCCCAAGAAAGCCUCCUGGCUUAGCUGUGUGACUAAAUGCUAUUUGCCCUCUUCAGUGGACCUCUAUUCUCAAGAUUCCCUUGUUUUCUCACCAUCCCAUUUGAGAUGCUUGUUAGUAACUGUUACAGGUCUUCUUUACCACCGAGGAAAGACAGAAUCCUACUAGAGGCCAGAAAAAGUGUUCCAGAGAUGGAUGGAAGGCCCUCACUUCUGCCUGCUCUCUUCAAACGCCUAAAGGUAGGGAGUGCUCCAGGUCUGCCACCAGGCUCCAAGGAUGGGUCUCUGAGGGGCUAGGAAAUGCCCCACCAAUCUGGCUAAGACAAAGAAAGGAUAUAAAGAGAAUGUUACAGAAAUUUAAAGGGUUAAGUUAAGUUGCUGAGAGUUAGUACAAGUUACAGAAAAAGAGGUAAAAAAAACAGGAAGCUAGGGAAGAAAAGAGACAAAAAGAAAAAGUUAGAGAGCUAAAGAGAGAUAAAAGACGAGAGAGGAACAUAUACUGGCCACAGUAGUUAGGGAACCUAGGAAGAUAGUACCUGACAACAGAAGAGAAUUCCUGGCUAAAGAUCAGUGUGCCUAAUACAAAGAAAAAGGACACUGGGUCAGAGACUGCCCAAGAAAGAACAAGAGGGGACACUGGAGAGCCUCUUGGUGCUGGCUAUGCACAGAGAUAGAAGGGAAGCCCGCCCAGUUGUUUUGUGGAUACAGGGACCCAAUGCUCUGUGCUCCUAUGCCCCCCAGUGGGCCAAUAUCCAAAGACCUUGAGUGCAAGGAGCUACUGACAACGAACAAUACUUAUGGACUGCCCGAAGAACAGUGGACCUUGGUGUGGGCCGGGUAACCCACCCACUAAUUCAUGGUCAUCCCUGACUGCCCCUAUCCCUUGCUCAUGAGAAAAUUGCUCUCCAAAUUGGCUUGCGUGGGCUGAAAUGGCUGGAUGAGGCCAUGUGUAUACAUAUCUAUAGACUGUGUAUGUAGAGCUUAAGACCUGUCUCAGUGCACCAGUAACUGAUGCUGGGAGAUGAAUGGCUUAGUGCUUUUCUGCCUGGAACACACCGUUCCUGCCAGCCGGGCACUGACAAUUAUCACCCGAUCCAGGACUUAAACUGUGAUAGAGUGGCUGAUGUUUUGCCUUUGAAUAGAAUGUCCCAAAGGAUGGGACCACUGGUCAGCUGCCAUAGACUAGAUUCUCCACUGGUUGGGGACAAUCUGGUCACCUUGCUGCCCAAUCCGGACCUGGAGCCACCACAGCACGAGUGUCAAACACUGACAGAAGCACAUGGGUGGAGGAAAGACCUGUGCGACUGGCUGAUUGACCCCUGCUGAAAGCCGAGGACCUUGUCCACAGACGGGAACAGUUCUCUUCAUGAAUAAAGAUGCCCUGAUGAAGCCAACAACUGUGAGUACUAUUCAUUGCUCAGGAUAUCAGGAGGGAAGUGAUUCAGUGACAUGGGACAAUAACAAAACAGAUAAAGUGGCUUGGGAAAUGGCUAUGCAGGAGCCUAUCCUGGUUACAGGCCUACAAGAAACAGCCACUGAGAACUGGGAUUAGACUAAGGGAUGGCCUCACUUAGAAUGUACAACAGAAGAAAAGGCCCAAGUUGUUUAAAAGAUAAAAAGACAAUGACACACUUGGGGAGAAAGCUGUACCCCCCAAAGAACAGACAAAAGACUCACUUUGCCAAAUAAAAAAAAUAGACUCAUUUAAGAGAUAAGAAGUUUGUCCAAAUAGUUAAAAUAUAUAUAAUAGACUUUAAGAUUUUAGCCAAGAGAGACAGUAAAAAAAAUAUAAGAUACGUCAGUAAAUAAAUGCUUAACAAACAAACAGGACAAAGAGACCUAGAGAGUUUAACGAAAAGUCGAAGUGAACUUCACUGAGAUAAAACCAGAAAAAUAUGAUCACAAGUAUCUCCUAGUGCUUGUAGAUACUUUUUCAGGAAUAGAUAGAAGCUUUCCUCACCAAAUGAGAGACGGCCUCUACAAUCAUCAAGAAGAUACUGGAAGAAAUCUUCCCCAGGUCUGGAAUGCCCAAGGUAAUCUGGUCUGACAGCGGCCCUACUUUCGUUGCCAAGGUAAGCCAGGGUGUGGCCAAAUAUUUAGAGGUCGAUUGGAAAUUACAUUGUAUUUACAGACCUCAAAGUUCAGGACAGGCAGAGUAAAUAAAUAGAACUCUAAAAGAGACCCUAAACAAAUUGACCAUGGAGACUGGCACAGACUGGGUGACACUCCUUCCCUCUUGCUCUCUUCAGAACAAGAAAUACCCCUUCCAGAUUCAGCCUUAUCCCCUUUGAGAUCUUAUAUGGGGCCUCAGCUCCCCUGACUGUAUUAGAUGAUGUUACUGAACCAACAUGUCAUAGUAAUAAUGAUUUGUGUGCCAGGCUAAAAGACCUACAGGUGAUACAGAAAGAAAUCUGCUCACAGCUGACAGCAGCCUAUGCCCUGGAGACCCCUGAGACAUCCCAUCAGUCGGAGACUGCAGCUACACUGAGCCCAGACACUCGAGCCUCGCUGGAAAGGACCAUACCUGGUGCUGCUGACCACCCUGACAGCCGUCAGUUCUCAGCCCUCACCAGCCGUGUACUAGCUGUUAGGGCUGAGAGCUGGGACCUAGAGGGAAAUUUAGUCACGUUUGUCCUGGGUUCCAUCGAGAUAGGUGUGGGGAUAGGCUUGAUUUCUAUUACAAAUGAUGUAACAUUACAUAUGUUAGUACUCCUAACACUUCUUGGGACUGUGCCUCAGGGAUCACAACCUAUAUAAAUUUAGAAGUUCUGAAAGACAGUCAUGACCUUGGUGUAUAGGUUUAGAUAGUGUCCAGAUAGAAUCCUGAUGCCAAAGACUUUUUAGCUGACCUCCAAGAAUACCUAACCUCCCUUUCAGAGGUAGUCCUUCAAAAUAAGAAAAGAUUAGACCUGAUAUUCCUUAAAGAAGGAGCCUGUGUGCUACACUGAAAGAAUGUUGCUUAUUCAGGAGUAAUUAAAGACUCCAUAAAUAAACUUAAAAAAAGGUUAGACAAAGACAGACCAAAAAAAACACAUAAGAGAUGGUUCGAGAGCUAGUUUAGUAGAUCUCCCUAGAUGACUACCCUACUCUCUGCUACAGCUGGGCCAUUAUUAAUAAUUUUCUUGGUUUUAGUUUUUGGCUCCUGCGUGACAAACAGGUUAAUUGCUUUUGUUAAAAAUCGAGUGGGUGCUGUGCGGUUGAUGGUUGUGAGACAACAGUACCAGUCAGUUAGGACAACUGGUGAGACCAAAUACGAGACUUGAUAUCAAAAUUCUAAGAUUAGAAUUAUCUAGUAGGAGAAGACGGGAAUGAAAAGAAAAUUAUACGAAUUCUAGGUUUAAAAAUAUAAAAUUAAAAGAGUUAGCCCCAAAAGCCACAAACUCAGGGAUAAGCCCUGCCGCCAGGAAUAGCAGGCCAUAAAGAUAAAGAAAAGGAAUACAAAAACCAGCUCAGGCUAUCGAGGACUGAGCCAUAAACCAUCCAAAGACAUCCCCCCAGCUUACUCAGAGUCAUACUUUAACCAGAUGUCCUCCAGACCCUGAUAAGCCCCUACUUGUGCUUUUCAGCCAUUGUGUCCUACAGAGAGCACUCCAAGAAACCGGGCAGCCCAAGCCUAACCAGAGGUGUUUCAAAUACAAAUGCUCCAUCAAUUUUGACAAACUUUUAAAAAUAAUGAGGACCUGAAGACCCUACCCUUCUCCUGAUUUAGUAGCUCUGUUCCAGGAACCAGGGGGCCAUAAAACCUUCUGGCGUCCCCUUAUCUCCUGGAGCCAUAAAACAAUCCUGUAACUUGUGGUGCAUUCCCCUUUGACAUCCCCCAUCCCCUGGUGCUCACAGCCUCUGCCUUUAAAUACUCUUUUUCCCAGCCUCUCGGGGCCGACACCUCUGUCUCCUGCGCGGGAUACGUGUCAGCCCGGAGAUCUCUGUAAUAGGUCUCCGUAAUAAACCUCGCCUUUGCUUAUUACA
Non-coding RNA from Rattus norvegicus (Norway rat), 6135 nucleotides. NCBI's taxonomy places the organism in Eukaryota, Metazoa, Chordata, Mammalia, Rodentia, Muridae. The record is from RefSeq and is a predicted model, not a curated record.